This 522-nucleotide long non-coding RNA is filed under the name Marmota monax (woodchuck). Lineage: Eukaryota; Metazoa; Chordata; Mammalia; Rodentia; Sciuridae. The record is from RNAcentral.
UUGCUUCUAUAUCAGGACUGAAUGGCCUGACCCAAGACUUCCAGGAAUGGUUUUCAGGCAGAUGAUGACCUCAACAGCCAGAAGUGAAAGCUAAUUCCAGAACCCACCCAGCUGCUGUCCCUGAGACUCUACAGACCUCCAAGUAAAGUCAGUUCACCUGGAGGGCUUCCUGGAGGAGAAGAGAAGCUGGAAACACUGGAGCCAGUGAUCCCCACGGGGACACUAAUUCAUUUCCAUAGUUUUUAUCUUAGAACCUAGACCACUGACUGAAGCUCUCAAAGUCUCAGGAUCCACACACAUUUUUCCCAUUUAUUCUUCUGUGUACAUAUCCAUCAUACAUGAGCAGAGCUCCCUAGCAGUUGAGAUGCAAAAGCUCAGGGGAUGUUAUGGUUUGGAUAUGAGGUGUCCCCCACAAACUGUUAAUGCAGGCAUAUUCAGAGGUAACAUGAUUGGAUUGCAAGAGCUGCAACCUAAUCAGUCCAUUCUAGUUUAAAUGGACUGGGCAAUAACUGUGGGCAAGUA